Molecule: ribosomal RNA, 253 nt
Filed under: uncultured bacterium
Lineage: Bacteria
Description: partial 16S ribosomal RNA
Rfam family: Bacterial small subunit ribosomal RNA
Source: RNAcentral
UACGGAGGGUGCGAGCGUUAAUCGGAAUUACUGGGCGUAAAGCGCACGCAGGCGGUUUGUUAAGCUAGAUGUGAAAGCCCCGGGCUCAACCUGGGAUGGUCAUUUAGAACUGGCAGACUAGAGUCUUGGAGAGGGGAGUGGAAUUCCAGGUGUAGCGGUGAAAUGCGUAGAUAUCUGGAGGGACAUCAGUGGCGAAGGCGACUCCCUGGCCAAAGACUGACGCUCAUGUGCGAAAGUGUGGGUAGCGAACAGG